RNAcentral lists this ribosomal RNA (429 nucleotides) under Chloroflexota bacterium. Its description in RNAcentral is "Chloroflexi bacterium partial 16S ribosomal RNA". It matches the Rfam family "Bacterial small subunit ribosomal RNA", at positions 355 to 776 of the family's 1533-position model. Lineage: Bacteria; Bacillati; Chloroflexota. The record is from RNAcentral.
UGGGGAAUAUUGCACAAUGGGCGCAAGCCUGAUGCAGCCAUGCCGCGUGUGUGAAGAAGGCCUUCGGGUUGUAAAGCACUUUCAGCGGGGAGGAAGGCGGUGAGGUUAAUAACCUCAUCGAUUGACGUUACCCGCAGAAGAAGCACCGGCUAACUCCGUGCCAGCAGCCGCGGUAAUACGGAGGGUGCAAGCGUUAAUCGGAAUUACUGGGCGUAAAGCGCACGCAGGCGGUCUGUCAAGUCGGAUGUGAAAUCCCCGGGCUCAACCUGGGAACUGCAUUCGAAACUGGCAGGCUAGAGUCUAGUAGAGGGGGGUAGAAUUCCAGGUGUAGCGGUGAAAUGCGUAGAGAUCUGGAGGAAUACCGGUGGCGAAGGCGGCCCCCUGGACAAAGACUGACGCUCAGGUGCGAAAGCGUGGGGAGCAAACAGG